GCUCUGUUUUCCGGACGGGGAAAGGGAGGAUUUUACCUUUUUGGUCGCUUUUUCAAUUUUUUUGGGUUCCUCGGGGAUUGGAAGGAAAAGCUCGGGUUACCCCAGAAGAGUGAGGAAAAAGAACAUCUGAAGAAACUCUUGGAGCUUGUUACCAGAGCCCGUGUUCCUCUGAUCGUUAAAUCAUGCACUGCUCAGCUGUGAAACAUCGUGGCAUGUGUUUUUGCUAACAGAAAACGCUGUCAAAUAUUGCUCUGCCUUUCUUCUACAAGAGUUUCUACCAGUGCUAUCAGAAGGUCAAGAAAAGUGCACUGCCUGUGCUGCCCUAGGACUGUUGAUGUCCUCAGCUGUUGUAGGAGAAGCACCAGACCUGGAACCCAGUUUGUUACUGGGAGAAUAAAAUUCAGUCUGAAAAUAUAGUGCUAUUGAUUACUGUUAACCUAUCCAGAUUUAAGGCUUCUCUUUCCCCUGGUUUGAAAUAUCAAAGGAAGAUCACUUUGGAUGUAAGUUACACGACACAAGUGUCUGUCUUGCUGCUAGCACUAACUUGUCAUUUUUUUUUUUUUGAGCACACUGUCAAAUGUUAUGGAAGGUGAUCAAAAGUCCUAAGAAUUUGUAUCAGCUUGAUGGAUGCCUUGUUAUUCUGGGCAUAAAAGCAUCCUUGCUAAAAAUGACUGUUUAGGUGAUUUAUUAGAAUUCUUUAUCCAGUGCUUUAGGGUGGCUGUGGGGUAAACUUGGAGAUAUAAAGCCAAGGAAAUAACGUGUUUUAUUGCAAAGUUAAAAAUGCUGUGCCUAUAAGUAGUUAAGCUUCAAAUAACAUUAAUUUCAUAGUUCUGAUCCGUCACCAGUUAGUUUGGGUGGGGACUUGAGAUUUUGUGAUCUGUGGUCUUGGAUUUGUCUAUUGCUCUUCUGGCUUGAAAACAGUAUUUAUAGCCCCUCAACGGCAAUAUAGCAAGGGAAAUAGCUGGUUUCAAUUGGCUUCUGCUGUUUGAGGAUUUCAGCUAUUCAGUGUGCUACGCAUAAUGCUUUUUCCCUUGAGGAAAUUGUGUUUCAGAGUGCUCUUCAAUAGUUUGUAUCCAUCAGCGUGGUUUCAAGUGUAGUACUUCUGUCAAAACCAAACUUUACUGAACCCAAACAGUGAAAACUGGCAGCUGUUUUACCCGAGUAACUCCAGACAGGUUUUCUUACAAGUCUGCAGUGAUUUAAAGAAACAUUUCUCUGGGAUGCUGUGAGAUGCUGGAGACUGAGCUUCAAAUCUAGUCUCUUUUAAUGUAAAUUACUUGAAGUCUGGUAAAAAAAAAAAAAAAAAAAAUGCUUCAUUGUGUAAUACGUGUAGCAUCUUUCUAGGCAGUUGUAUUUUGUGGGAUUCUUUCAAGAGGAACCUGUUAUUUAAUUUGGUGCAAUGUGGGGUUGGUCUCAUUGAGUCUUAGAAAAGCGUGUCUGUGAGUUUGUUUUGGGUGUUGUAAUCCAG
This 1468-nucleotide long non-coding RNA is filed under the name Anas platyrhynchos (mallard). RNAcentral describes it as "lncRNA (ENSAPLG00020013015.1)". The record is from RNAcentral. Lineage: Eukaryota; Metazoa; Chordata; Aves; Anseriformes; Anatidae.